CACAUAGAGAGUUUGAUACUGGCUCAAGAUGAACGCUGGUGGCAUGCUUAAGACAUGCAAGUCGGAUGGGAAACACGGGAAAUGGUGUUUCCAGUGGUGGACGGGUGAGUAAUGCAUAAGAACAUGCCCUUGAGAGGGGAACAACAGCUGGAAGCGGCAGCUAAAACCCCGUAGGCUGAGGAGAAAAAGGAGGAAUCUGCUCGAGGAGGGUCUCGCAUCUAAUUAGCUAGUUCGUGAGGCAAUAGCUUACCAAGGCGAUGAUCAGUAACUGGUCUGAGAGGAUGAUCAUCCACACUAGGACUGAGACACGGCUCAGACUCCUACAGGAGGCAGCAGUGGGGAAUUUUCCGCAAUGGGCAAGAGCCUGACGGAGCAAUGCCGCGUGGAGGUAGAAGGCCCACAGGUCAUGAACUUUUUUCUCGGAGUUGGGAAAUAAGCAUCGGCUAACUCUGUGCCAGCAGCCGCGGUAAUACAGACGAUGCAAGCGUUAUCUAGAAUGAUAGGGCAUAAAGCGUCUGUAGGUGGAUUAUUAAGUCCGCCUCAAAUCCCAGGGCUCAAACCUGGACAGGAGGUAGAAACUACCAAGCUGGAGUAUGAUAGGGGUAGAGGGAAUUUUUGGUGGAGCGGUGAAAUACGUAGAGAUCAAAAAGAACACCAAAAGUGAAGCACUCUACUGCGCCGACACUGACAAUGAGAGAUGAAAGCUAGGGGGCAAAUGGGAUUAGAUGCCCCAGUAGUCCUAGCCGUAAAUGAUGGAUACUAGGCGUUGUGCGUAUCGACUGAUGCAGUACUGUAGCUAAUGCAUUAAGUAUCCCUCCUGGGGAGUACGUUCGCAAGAAUGAAACUCAAAGGUAUUGAUGGGCGCCCGCACACGCGGUGGAGCAUGUGGUUUAAUUUGAUGCAAAGCGAAGAACCUUAGCAAGGCUUGACAUAUCGUGAAUCCUCUUGAAAGAGAAGGGUAACUUGGGGAAUGCGGACACAGGUAGUGCAUGGUUGUUGUCAGCUUGUGCCGUAAGGUGUUGGGUUAAGUCCUUCAAUGAGCGUAACCCUCGUGUUUAGUUUCCAUCAUUGAGUUUGGAACCCUGAACAGACUGCCGGUGAUAAGCUGGAGAAAGGUGGGGAUGACGUCAAGUCAUCAUGCCCCUUAUGCCCUAGGCGACGCACGUCCUACAAUGGCUGGGACAAAGGGUAACGAUCCCGAGAGGGUGAGAUAACACUAAAAACCCAUCCUCAAUUUGGAUUACAGGCUGUAACUCGCCUGCAUAAAGCUGGAAUCGCUAGUAAUCGUUGGUCAGCCGUACGGUGAUGAAUUCACUCCCGAGCCUUGUACACACCGCCCGUCACACUAUGGGAGCUGGCCAUGCCCAAAGUCGUUACCUUAACCACAAGGAGGGGGAUGCCAAAAGCAGGGCUAGUGACUGAAGUAAGGUCGUAACAAGGUAGCCAUACUAGAAGAUGCGGCUGGAUUACCUCCUUU
Non-coding RNA from Capsicum annuum, 1477 nucleotides. Lineage: Eukaryota; Viridiplantae; Streptophyta; Magnoliopsida; Solanales; Solanaceae. The record is from Rfam.